CCUACGGGGUGCUGCAGUAGGGAAUAUUGCUCAAUGGGGGCAACCCUGAAGCAGCAACGCCGCGUGGAGGAUGAAGGUUUUAGGAUUGUAAACUCCUUUUGUGAGAGAGGAUAAUGACGGUAUCUCAAGAAUAAGCACCUGCUAACCCCGUGCCAGCAGCCGCGGUAAUACGGAGUGUGCAAGCGUUACUCAGAAUCAAUGGGCGUAAAGAGUGCGCAGGCGGGCUUGUAAGUCAGAUGUGAAAUCCUUUAGCUUAAAGACAGCACUGCAUUUGAAACUAGGAGUCUAGAGUGUGGGAGAGGUAGGUUGAAGUCUUGGUGGAGGGGUAAAAGCCGUAGAUAUCAAGAGGAAUACUCAUUGCGAAGGCGACCUACUGGAACAUGACUGACGCUCAGGUACGAAAGCGUGGGGAGCAAACAGGAUUAGAUACCCGUGUAGUC
This 440-nucleotide ribosomal RNA is filed under the name uncultured bacterium. Its description in RNAcentral is "partial 16S ribosomal RNA". It matches the Rfam family "Bacterial small subunit ribosomal RNA", at positions 338 to 795 of the family's 1533-position model. The record is from RNAcentral.